UCUCCCGGGCGUUAUCUUAGUGUUGGGGCUUACGGUUUCACCUGACCGUCUUUCUCUCACCACUGUUGUCGAUCUCUCUGCGUCGUUUACCGUCUUUCUUGCGGUUCGAUUUAGGGAAGGCCUGGGCGAUGGGGGAGGACGGCUCGCAUUAAAGCUCUUGGCGUGAGGGAAGAACGAGUGGAAGCCUGCAAGAGCUUGGGGUGGAAGUUCCCUACGAAGAUCCAAGUCGAGGCGAUUCUCUAUUCCCCUGAAGUUAGCAGGACCUUCAAAUGUCUCAAUUUUGUUUGUCAGAUGACUGAAUGGGAGAUUCAUACGGAUAACUGAAAGGACUUUAUGUUGGUUGGUAGGGAAAGAUUUUUUCGGACCGGCACAAACAGAAUUGCAUGUAUUGACAAUCUGGGCUAGUGAAUCAGCACCAGGUGGAUGUUAUGUACAGAGAGUAUUUCAUCGGAAGAAAACUACCAGGGUACUGUAGUCAGUGAAUGAAACUGAAGUGGGACAUGGAUUGGAUGCCAAGAUGAUUGCUCUGAUGAAAAUCAAGGAAAGCAAUAGCAGCAAAAAAGAGGAAAAAUGUAGAAGACGAAGAAGUUGAGUAUGGUGUGAUCCGUAAGAGGGUAAAAGGACCAAGAGAUUGAAAUGGCAAUAACAUGCAGAAGCUGAGGAGCAUGAUACAAAGAAAAAUAUGAGCUGAUCAAAGAGCUUGACCAUUUUUCUUUUUUUUUGUGUUAAUUUUCUUUUCAAAGCUGGUCUUAUGAUUCUGAUGACCAUAUCUACUGAAGUUUUUAAUGUUUAAUCUCUCCAAAGAGAACCUUGUAUACGUUUAACUGUAUAUGGAGCAGUGAUUAUUUUGGGAUCGACUAUUA
Musa acuminata AAA Group (dessert banana) is the source of this 863-nucleotide long non-coding RNA. RefSeq lists it as uncharacterized. The record is from RefSeq and is a predicted model, not a curated record. The transcript has 5 exons. Lineage: Eukaryota; Viridiplantae; Streptophyta; Magnoliopsida; Zingiberales; Musaceae.